GGAGCGGCUGAGCAAUGGAGUUGGGACUCGGGGGAGCAAUAGGUGCCUGUGUCCCAAGCUUCCUGUGUGGCCCUUGCAAGCUCCUGCUCCCCUCGCCUGCAAGUGGAGCGAUGCUCAAGUUUGAGGAAUCUUUUCCUCGGCAGGCGGUAAAAGACGCCGCAGCUGCGAGUUUUGUGUCCUUCUUUGUUAUUGGAAAGCAGCCUCCUUGAGAGCAGGAGAGCAGCAGGCUGUCUGCUGUGUGGCUGCUGAAGGGCGUUUCUCCCCAGCUGAGAUCCCUGAGCCCACGCUGGCGGAGAACGAGCUGCGCCGCGGUGUCUUCAGUGGAGCCACUUUGCAGC
Non-coding RNA from Meleagris gallopavo (turkey), 338 nucleotides. NCBI's taxonomy places the organism in Eukaryota, Metazoa, Chordata, Aves, Galliformes, Phasianidae. The record is from RefSeq and is a predicted model, not a curated record.